AUGGAUUACGAUACCAGUUACACAUUAAAGAAAUGUGUGUAACAUCACUAAUAAUCCAAAUAGAAACAGUCCUUCUGAAGACUUUCUUUUGUUAAGUUUUGAAAGAAAGACAGAUAUGGGGACUACAAUA
Pectinophora gossypiella (pink bollworm) is the source of this 130-nucleotide non-coding RNA. RefSeq annotates it as small Cajal body-specific RNA 8. The transcript has a single exon. The record is from RefSeq and is a predicted model, not a curated record. NCBI's taxonomy places the organism in Eukaryota, Metazoa, Arthropoda, Insecta, Lepidoptera, Gelechiidae.